AUCUCCUUAAGACACCUGCCUUGGACGCUUUUCUAUUCCUUUUUCAUAGGCUGUGACAGACGCAGUGUGACCCAGCUUCAGCAAUGCUGAUGAACGUGGCAUUCAGGGAAUGCCAGUGCAGUGGUUAAGAAAGCAACCUGUGUCCUUUCAUGACCUAGAGGAGUAGAUUCACUUCGCCACCUGGACCAGCCAGACUAAUGUGAGAGAGAAACACACUUCUAUGGCCACUAGGAGGAUUAAGUGGAAUAACUGACAUGAAAGUCUCAAGAUGAAUGCUCGGUUCAUAGCAUGAAUUCGCCUGAUGUCUCAGGUGAAUGCUGCAAGAUCUCUAAAUGGGAAGAUUCCUUAUCAACCCUUAUCUUCUCCAGCUUAAAUUGAAGAUGUCCUUGGCAGAGAGGUACUACUCAAACACAGAACACUCUUCAGCAAACAGAAGAUGUGACCUUCUUACACUUUCAGAGAUCAUCCUGGAUUAUCUGGGUGAACCCUAAAUGCCAACACAAGUGUCUAUAGGGACACAGAGGGAAACCUGACACAGAGACAGAGACUGAAGUGAUGUGCCCACAAACAAACAAUGCUGGCAGCCACCAGAAUUGGAAGAGGCAAGGACUCAGUUCUCCUUUAGAGCUGAUAUCUUCAUUCAUGUUCAGUGGAACUGAAUUUGGACCUCUGGCUUCCAGAACUGUAAGAGAAUACAUUUAUGUUG
Sciurus carolinensis (gray squirrel) is the source of this 706-nucleotide long non-coding RNA. RefSeq lists it as uncharacterized. The transcript is spliced from 5 exons. Lineage: Eukaryota; Metazoa; Chordata; Mammalia; Rodentia; Sciuridae. The record is from RefSeq and is a predicted model, not a curated record.